Molecule: ribosomal RNA, 440 nt
Filed under: uncultured bacterium
Lineage: Bacteria
Description: partial 16S ribosomal RNA
Rfam family: Bacterial small subunit ribosomal RNA
Source: RNAcentral
CCUACGGGUGGCAGCAGUGGGGAAUAUUGCACAAUGGGGGGAACCCUGAUGCAGCGACGCCGCGUGAGUGAAGAAGUAUUUCGGUAUGUAAAGCUCUAUCAGCAGGGAAGAAAAUGACGGUACCUGACUAAGAAGCCCCGGCUAACUACGUGCCAGCAGCCGCGGUAAUACGUAGGGGGCAAGCGUUAUCCGGAUUUACUGGGUGUAAAGGGAGCGUAGACGGCAGAGCAAGUCUGAAGUGAAAGCCCGCGGCCCAACUGCGGGACUGCUUUGGAAACUGCCCGGCUGGAGUGCAGGAGGGGCAGGCGGAAGUCCUGGUGUAGCGGUGAAAUGCGUAGAUAUCAGGAGGAACACCGGUGGCGAAGGCGGCCUGCUGGACUGCAACUGACGUUGAGGCCCGAAAGCGUGGGGAGCAAACAGGAUUAGAUACCCCGGUAGUC